RNAcentral lists this transfer RNA (65 nucleotides) under Argyra pingwuensis. RNAcentral describes it as "tRNA-Leu". The record is from RNAcentral. Lineage: Eukaryota; Metazoa; Arthropoda; Insecta; Diptera; Dolichopodidae.
ACUAUUUUGGCAGAUUAGUGCUAUAAAUUUAGAAUUUAUAUAUGUAAUUAAAAAUACAAAUAGUA